GGGGGUAUAGCUCAAUGGUAGAGUGCAUGCCUAGCAUGCAUGAGGUCCUGGGUUCAAUCCCUGGUACCUCCA
Molecule: transfer RNA, 72 nt
Filed under: Vicugna pacos (alpaca)
Lineage: Eukaryota; Metazoa; Chordata; Mammalia; Artiodactyla; Camelidae
Description: tRNA-Ala (AGC) (tRNA-Ala-AGC-445-1)
Rfam family: tRNA
About the family: Transfer RNA (tRNA) molecules are approximately 80 nucleotides in length. Their secondary structure includes four short double-helical elements and three loops (D, anti-codon, and T loops).
Source: Rfam by way of RNAcentral